AGACGUCUACAUUAGAUACCCCUGUAGUCCCAGCCGUAAACGAUGCGCGUUAGGUGUAUCGACGACCACGAGUCGUCGAGGUGCCGAAGGGAAACCGUGAAACGUGCCGCCUGGGAAGUACGGUCGCAAGGCUGAAACUUAAAGGAAUUGGCGGGGGAGCACAACAACGGGUGGAGCCUGCGGUUUAAUUGGACUCAACGCCGGACAACUCACCGGGAACGACAGCAAUAUGUAGGCCAGGCUGAAGACCUUGCCUGAAUCGCUG
RNAcentral lists this ribosomal RNA (265 nucleotides) under uncultured archaeon. Its description in RNAcentral is "partial 16S ribosomal RNA". It matches the Rfam family "Archaeal small subunit ribosomal RNA", at positions 714 to 982 of the family's 1478-position model. The record is from RNAcentral.